Molecule: ribosomal RNA, 253 nt
Filed under: uncultured bacterium
Lineage: Bacteria
Description: partial 16S ribosomal RNA
Rfam family: Bacterial small subunit ribosomal RNA
Source: RNAcentral
UACGUAGGGUGCGAGCGUUAAUCGGAAUUACUGGGCGUAAAGCGUGCGCAGGCGGUGAUGUAAGACAGUUGUGAAAUCCCCGGGCUCAACCUGGGAACUGCAUUCAAAACUGUCGAGCUAGAGUAUGGUAGAGGGUGGUGGAAUUUCCUGUGCAGCGGUGGAAUGCGUAGAGAUGUGGAGGAACACCGAUGGCGAAGGCAGCCCCCUGGGUCAAGAUUGACGCUCAUGCACGAAAGCGUGGGGAGCAAACAGG